This 242-nucleotide ribosomal RNA is filed under the name uncultured bacterium. RNAcentral's name for it is "partial 16S ribosomal RNA". It matches the Rfam family "Bacterial small subunit ribosomal RNA", at positions 524 to 765 of the family's 1533-position model. The record is from RNAcentral.
UACGAAGGUGGCAAGCGUUGUUCGGAUUUACUGGGCGUACAGGGAGCGUAGGCGGUUGGGUAAGCCCUCCGUGAAAUCUCCGGGCCUAACCCGGAAAGUGCGGAGGGGACUGCUCGGCUAGAGGAUGGGAGAGGAGCGCGGAAUUCCCGGUGUAGCGGUGAAAUGCGUAGAGAUCGGGAGGAAGGCCGGUGGCGAAGGCGGCGCUCUGGAACAUUUCUGACGCUGAGGCUCGAAAGCGUGGG